GAUGAACGCUGGCGGCGUGCCUAAUACAUGCAAGUCGAGCGAACAGAUGAGGAGCUUGCUCCUCUGACGUUAGCGGCGGACGGGUGAGUAACACGUGGAUAACCUACCUAUAAGACUGGGAUAACUUCGGGAAACCGGAGCUAAUACCGGAUAAUAUAUUGAACCGCAUGGUUCAAUAGUGAAAGACGGUUUUGCUGUCACUUAUAGAUGGAUCCGCGCCGCAUUAGCUAGUUGGUAAGGUAACGGCUUACCAAGGCAACGAUGCGUAGCCGACCUGAGAGGGUGAUCGGCCACACUGGAACUGAGACACGGUCCAGACUCCUACGGGAGGCAGCAGUAGGGAAUCUUCCGCAAUGGGCGAAAGCCUGACGGAGCAACGCCGCGUGAGUGAUGAAGGUCUUCGGAUCGUAAAACUCUGUUACUAGGGAGGAACAAAUGUGUAAGUAACUAUGCACGUCUUGACGGUACCUAAUCAGAAAGCCACGGCUAACUACGUG
Molecule: ribosomal RNA, 497 nt
Filed under: uncultured bacterium
Lineage: Bacteria
Description: partial 16S ribosomal RNA
Rfam family: Bacterial small subunit ribosomal RNA
Source: RNAcentral